UGAGGAAUAUUGGUCAAUGGACGAGAGUCUGAACCAGCCAAAUCGCGUGAAGGAAGACUGCCCUACGGGUUGUAAACUUCUUUUGUACAGUAAUAAAAGACAUUACGUGUAAUGUAUUGCAUGUACUGUACGAAUAAGCAUCGGCUAACUCCGUGCCAGCAGCCGCGGUAAUACGGAGGAUGCGAGCGUUAUCCGGAUUUAUUGGGUUUAAAGGGUGCGCAGGCGGGAUUUUAAGUCAGCGGUGAAAUUUUCAGGCUCAACCUGAACACUGCCGUUGAAACUGGGAUUCUUGAGUAUGGAUGAAGUAGGCGGAAUUCGUUGUGUAGCGGUGACAUGCUUAGAUAUAACGAGGAACUCCGAUUGCGUAGGCAGCUUACUAAGCCAUAACUGACGCUCAAGCACGAAAGCGUGGGGAUCAAACA
This 422-nucleotide ribosomal RNA is filed under the name uncultured bacterium. RNAcentral's name for it is "bacterial SSU rRNA". It matches the Rfam family "Bacterial small subunit ribosomal RNA", at positions 355 to 774 of the family's 1533-position model. The record is from RNAcentral.